AGGCCUUAGCUUAAUUAAAGCAUUUGUUUUGCAUGCAGAAGAUGUGGGGUAGUGUCCUGCAGGUCUUAU
Molecule: transfer RNA, 69 nt
Filed under: Uranoscopus tosae
Lineage: Eukaryota; Metazoa; Chordata; Actinopteri; Uranoscopiformes; Uranoscopidae
Description: tRNA-Ala
Rfam family: tRNA
About the family: Transfer RNA (tRNA) molecules are approximately 80 nucleotides in length. Their secondary structure includes four short double-helical elements and three loops (D, anti-codon, and T loops). Further hydrogen bonds mediate the characteristic L-shaped molecular structure. tRNAs have two regions of fundamental functional importance: the anti-codon, which is responsible for specific mRNA codon recognition, and the 3' end, to which the tRNAs corresponding amino acid is attached (by aminoacyl-tRNA synthetases). tRNAs cope with the degeneracy of the genetic code in two manners: having more than one tRNA (with a specific anti-codon) for a particular amino acid; and 'wobble' base-pairing, i.e. permitting non-standard base-pairing at the 3rd anti-codon position.
Source: RNAcentral